GCCAGUCAAAGCUUAGUAUGUAUUGACUGGCUAUUUAACUGGCCAUAAUAUAUUUAAGAAUUUUAUUAUAAAUAUGAAAUACUUCCAAAAGGCCUAUCUUAUAUAUUCCUUCAUUUUUUAGAUGUUCAACACAGUGGUAUAAUUGAUAUUUCUGAAUCAGAAAGCUUUGGAGAACAAAGUGAAUGUUCAUUCACAUCAAAUUCUAUAUAGUCUGGAGGAGGACACAAAAAUGCAGAUAUAUGGAAACAUUAUAUUUACCAAUCAUUGACAGAAACUGCUAGAUAAAAAAACUGCUUCAGCUUUAAUUAAUCAUAACAAACGAUUCCAUCAAAAGACCUAUAAUAAUAAAUUUAUUGGGUCAUAUUUUAAUAAUGAUUCAAAUAAUAAUCAUAUGUACAACAAUAAUGAUAUCAAACAUUAUUUAUUAAAAUUUUUGAUCAAAUCUAAUAUCCCAUUUAAAAUUCUUGCAACAAAUGAAUUUAAAUGUUUUGUUAAUGCAUUAAAUCCUAACAUUAAAAUAUGUUCAAUUCCUACAAUGAAGCAAUACAUAAAUGAAUCUGUUGAUAAUGAAUUCAAAAAAAUUAAAUUAAUGAUAAGCUAUUCAAAUACUCAAAUAAAUUUUACAAUAGAUAUUUGGUAAAGUACAACAAAUGUCCCAUUCUUAGGGUUAACCUGCCAUUACAUUGAUGAUGAAUGGGUACUAAAAUCUAUAUUAUUAGACAUUGUUCCAUUUACAAAUUCCCAUUUUGGGGAAAACAUUUUAUAGAAUCAUUAAUAAUUAUAACAUAGAUAUUAAGUCAGCAGCUAUUACAUGUGACAAUGCCACAUCAAACACUAACUUUAUAAAUACCCUCAAUUAAACCCAGAUCAAAAAUUGCACAUAUUCGUUGUUUUGCACUGUUUUAAAUCUUGUUGUUCAAGAAAUAAUAAAACAAAUAGAUGAACAAUUAAUGAAAUUAAGACACAUUAUAAGAAGCAUCCGAAAUUCUUUUAAGAAAAUUACUAUGAUAUAAGAAUUUUGUAAUUCUCAAAAUCCAUCUAUUAAAUAUAAUAUUAAAAUUAGAUACACCUAUCAGGUGAAAUAGCUCAUAUUUUAUGAUUGAAAAUAACAAUGAAAAAAGCCAUUCAUGUUGUUAUUAAUAGUUAUGAUGUAUCUAUUAUUGAAGAGAAACAACUAAGUGAAGAUGAAUGGGUCACGUCAGAAAGAAUACAUGCAAACUUGAAAACAUUUUAUGAUUUUACUGUUGCUAUAUCAGGGGACUCCUUUUCUACCCUUAAUUUGGUCAUUCCUUUUUAUAUUUCAUUAAUUGAGCACCCAAGUCUCUCUUAUAAACGCAAUUUAUGCUCAACAAAAAAUUAUAUCUUAUUAUAAUUUAACAAAUUUAGAAACCCUUAUAUCUGCUCUAUUAGAUCCUAGACUUAAAUUAGAGUUUUUUGAAUGCCUACCUCCUUCUUAUAAUAUCAACAUUUCAAUUAUAUUAAAUAAUUUUAAUAAAAUGUUUGAUAAUUAUAAAGUAAAAUAUGAUGUAUCAGUCAGUCAACCUUUAAUACAAUCAAAUAUGGAUGUAAUUUUUAAACAGAAUGCCGUACCAAUUUCCGAAGUUGAAACUUAUUUAAAAGAAGCGAGAAUCACAUCAAAUAAAUCCCACUAGAAUGGUGGAAACUACAUGGAGAUCGUUUUCCCGUUUUAUCUAAAAUGGCAGAGACAUAUUAUCUAUACCAGGAUCUUCUACCCCAUGUGAGCGGCUCUUUUCUGUUGGAGCGCAUCAUUAAAAGAGGAUACAAUCCUAAAAACUUUGUGUUUAAAAAAUUGGUUGUUAUCAGAUUUUUCUUAAUAUAUUGAUUUUUCUGCAUUAUAUAUU
Long non-coding RNA from Gordionus sp. m RMFG-2023, 1862 nucleotides. RefSeq lists it as uncharacterized. The record is from RefSeq and is a predicted model, not a curated record. Lineage: Eukaryota; Metazoa; Nematomorpha; Gordioida; Chordodea; Parachordodidae. The transcript has 3 exons.